Long non-coding RNA from Tupaia belangeri chinensis (Chinese tree shrew), 461 nucleotides. RefSeq lists it as uncharacterized. The transcript is spliced from 3 exons. The record is from RefSeq and is a predicted model, not a curated record. Lineage: Eukaryota; Metazoa; Chordata; Mammalia; Scandentia; Tupaiidae.
CAUAGCCUGGUUCCACUCUACACCACCAGAAUACUUAAACACCCUGUGUUUUAAUGUCCUCCCGUGUAACGUGGAGGUGAUAUUACUACCUCACAGGACUCUCACAGGAGUUAAAUGAGAAAAAUCGAGGCGGCCGUCCCUCAGUAUUAGCACAUAGCUAACAUUGGUCAGUUAGCUUGAAGAUGCUCUCUUCCAAUGAGUGACUCACAGAUUCAACCGCUUGCAAAUUACAGCCCACCUCUAGGACACGUGGCUUUCACAUUUCCAAGAGGCAAGUGGAGAGAAGAGGAAGUAGGUUGUUCAGGAUGUAUUAAGAACAAGAAGUCUCUCAGGAACGACCCAGCACGGAACACAGUGCUCACUUACUAAUUCUAGGAUGACAUCCUGUCCUAGCUGCCUACACGUCUGUGGGACAGAUGCUGUUUUCUCAUCUCCAGACUAGAAAGACCCUGCUGAAGAAU